RNAcentral lists this microRNA precursor (93 nucleotides) under Canis lupus familiaris (dog). Its description in RNAcentral is "mir-8799 microRNA precursor family". It matches the Rfam family "mir-8799 microRNA precursor family". The record is from Rfam by way of RNAcentral. RNAcentral also lists the same sequence under 1 other name. Lineage: Eukaryota; Metazoa; Chordata; Mammalia; Carnivora; Canidae.
AGGGGGAGCACAGGAUCCUGGGCUGUGUCCCCCGGUGCUCUGGGAUCCGGGGCCUGUGCUGCUGGAAUCUUGCUCCCACGGCCGCAGCCCCCA